UUUGUAUUUUUUGGUAGAGACAGAGUUUUACCAUGUUGGCCAAGCUGGUCUCAAACUCCUGACCUCAAGUGAUCCUCCUGCCUCAGCCUCCCAAAAUAUGAGGAUUACAGGCAUGAGCCACCACGCCCGACCAAAAUCUGAAACUUUUUGAUCACCACACUUUACCACAAGUGUAAAAUUCCACACACAAGUACUCAAUGGCAACUGUUUUAUGCACAAAUUUGUUUAAAAUAUUG
This 236-nucleotide long non-coding RNA is filed under the name Homo sapiens (human). RNAcentral describes it as "HSALNT0199164". The record is from RNAcentral. Lineage: Eukaryota; Metazoa; Chordata; Mammalia; Primates; Hominidae.